Molecule: long non-coding RNA, 1177 nt
Filed under: Heterocephalus glaber (naked mole-rat)
Lineage: Eukaryota; Metazoa; Chordata; Mammalia; Rodentia; Bathyergidae
Description: lncRNA (ENSHGLG00100043224.1)
Source: RNAcentral
GUCUUGAUGCUGCAUCAUAAUCGGGAAGAGUACAUCCCACAGGAAGAGAGCAAGAGGAAGCUGAGGAAGCCAAACCAGCUUUGUAAGAACCCACUCCCUCCAUCACUUACCUAUUCCCAUGAUAACUAACCCACCCAGGCCAUCAUUAACCUGCCCCGCUAGAACCAACCCACUCCCAGGACAAUGGCCUCAAACCAUUUAUGAAGAUGGAGUCCUCAUGACCUCAUCAUCACCUAAAGGUGUCACAAUGGCAGAUAAAUUUCACCGUGAGCUUUGGGGACAACUUUCACCCCCCAGCAGGAUUGAGGGCCAGAUGGGAUCCUCUCCGGCCAUGCACGCAGGAGCCACAUCAGGAGGAUCUGCCCAAAUUCAAGAUCUUCGCUGGAUCUCUUUUUAUGCCUGAGAAACACUGUGGGUCAGAAGCAGCUGAGUGUCAAAUAGAGAGCCGGUUUUAUCCCAAAGGUGGAAGGAAGAAGUUGAAACCCCAUCAGCCAGACUGACAACUUGAGAGAGAAACUACUGAGAUCAAAACAGCACUUGAAUAGUUAUGUUGAAUGGGGGUGACUCUGAAAUUCCCUGUGAUUUUUGAAUCAGAAGCAUCAGAAAUAAUACAAAUAGAGGAACAUUUUCUGCUUUAAGAUAACUCAGUGGUAAGAGGGAUGCCAACAGAUAAGCCAGUUAUAUCUAGAAUUAUAAACCAUCAUUUUGUAAUACACGAAGGUUCCUCAUGUGGUGUUAAAUACAAAUUUGGGGAUAAAUGAGCACGUGUUGAUACAGUUACUAAGUUCUCUUGGUGUCCACAUAAUCAUGAAGGUGAUAAGCAUGACUUUAUAUUUCAGAGUCCAUUUUUAAUUACCUCCUUUGCCAUUGGUGACCUCUUUCCUGCUUAGAUAUAUGCUUAGCCUCCCACCUUCUGUUUUCCCCAUCCUUUCCACCACAACCUAUUCAGUGAACAAUGUGUUACUCUUUUCUUCGGGUAUGUUUACAAUGCCAUUUGCUGCACGGUUAUCUCAGUGAAGUGAACAAUUUUCUCCCCACGGGAGUAGCAAGGGAAGAGCUCUUGCACUGAGUCACCCUGGCCUAGGUUAGAAGAGGGAUUAGUAUUUGUGAGGAGUCUAAAAAUUGUAAAGCAAACUGAAGACCAAUCACAUGUAGGCAAUUUUAAGCAGGAUCAGUG